AAUAGAUACGUGUUUUUGGCCAGAUACGAACUCCUGAAUACAUCUUUAUUGUAUAGCUUAAACAACCCGUAGUGAGGGCUUUUAAAAUGUAGGUGUACAAUAAGUGGUAACCAUUGCGAAAGGGUCGUGAUAUCGUUAUUGAGUUACAUGAUUGAUUAUGGAUUAUAAUUUUGAAAUAUCACCCAGUUUUAAAUGAAAUGUAGUCAUUGAUUAACUAUACAAAGAUGACAACGAAAGGCGAAUUAUUGGAUCCACUUAGGAUAAUCCUAGGAUUACUAAUUAUCAUCAAUAUGACACAUCUGAUAUCAGCAAAUGGUGAUCAAAAGAAAAGUCUAGAAGAUUUCAGGUAUAAAUCUACAGCAUCAGGUUCUAGUGAAUUCAGUGAUUGGCAAGUGACGUUAAUUAUGAUUGCUCUGGUGGUUAGUCUUUCAUCUCUAGUAAUGACAGCCUUAUAUUGCCACGAUAGACUUAAGAACAAAAGAGUUGAUAUUCGUGAUGUGACUUCCGUUGAAGAUCCAAAAGAAGAAUCAGCAAAUUUUCCUAAGCCUGUUUCGGCUACAGCACAAAAACUAGAACCAUUACCAGCCUCUGUUAAUCGCCCAACACGCCUUUCAUCUGACAUAAUUCGUCCAAGACCAUUACCUCCAAUAAGUGCUAAAAUGUAUCAUGAACCUACUGAACUACGACCAUUACCAAAAAUACCAAAAGCGACAACAUCAGUAUUUACAAUAGAAGCCCCACCCCCUUCAUACAACGAAUAUACCGAAUUUCCUCCAGGCAAUGCACCAUUUUAAAAGAAUUCCCCGUUCCUGUGAAAAAUUCAUUAAUUGUGAUAAAUCUGUAUAGAUUGUAAUAGCCUGUUUAUGUACAUAAAAUCUCUUGUAAAUUUUUAAUACUAGGGUAUUUUUUAUAUGUCAGACUGGUCAUUCGGUAAAAAUAAUUACAUUCCCUGGUCGUUUUUGUCGAAGGAAACCGUCUAUGGCUGGCGAUUCUAUAUUUUUGAAAAUGGCAUAUUGUUUAUAGUGUAAAGGAUUAAAAUUAAUAUUUUCAA
Patella vulgata (common limpet) is the source of this 1051-nucleotide long non-coding RNA. RefSeq lists it as uncharacterized. The record is from RefSeq and is a predicted model, not a curated record. The transcript has 4 exons. NCBI's taxonomy places the organism in Eukaryota, Metazoa, Mollusca, Gastropoda, Patellidae.